UACGUCGGGUGCAAGCGUUGUCCGGAAUCAUUGGGCGUAAAGCGCGUGUAGGCGGCUUGUUAAGUCCGCUCUGAAAGCCCGGGGCUCAACCCCGGGAGGCGGGUGGAUACUGGCAAGCUCGAGUCCGGAAGAGGAGACUGGAAUUCCCGGUGUAGCGGUGAAAUGCGCAGAUAUCAGGAAGAACACCAAUGGCGAAAGCAGCUCUCUGGGACGGUACUGACGCUGAGACGCGAAAGCGUGGGGAGCGAACAGG
This 253-nucleotide ribosomal RNA is filed under the name uncultured bacterium. RNAcentral's name for it is "partial 16S ribosomal RNA". It matches the Rfam family "Bacterial small subunit ribosomal RNA", at positions 524 to 776 of the family's 1533-position model. The record is from RNAcentral.